RNAcentral lists this unclassified non-coding RNA (337 nucleotides) under soil metagenome. RNAcentral describes it as "partial contains 5.8S ribosomal RNA, internal transcribed spacer 2, and large subunit ribosomal RNA". The stretch from base 1 to 120 matches the Rfam family "5.8S ribosomal RNA", at positions 35 to 154 of the family's 154-position model. The record is from RNAcentral.
GAUGAAGAACGCAGCGAAAUGCGAUAAGUAAUGCGAAUUGCAGAUUUCAGUGAGUCAUCGAAUCUUUGAACGCACAUUGCGCCCGCCAGUAUUCUGGCGGGCAUGCCUGUUCGAGCGUCAUUUCAACCAUCAAGCCCCCGGGCUUGCGUUGGGGCCCUGCGGCUGCCGUAGGCCCCGAAAAGCAGUGGCGGGCUCGCUGUCACACCGAGCGCAGUAGCGAUUCUCGCUCCGGGCGUCGGCGGCGGGCACCGGCCGUGAAACCCCCCCACAUCCACAAGGUUGACCUCGGAUCAGGUAGGAAUACCCGCUGAACUUAAGCAUAUCAAUAAGCGGAGGA